Molecule: ribosomal RNA, 466 nt
Filed under: uncultured Eubacteriales bacterium
Lineage: Bacteria; Bacillati; Bacillota; Clostridia; Eubacteriales
Description: bacterial SSU rRNA
Rfam family: Bacterial small subunit ribosomal RNA
Source: RNAcentral
CGGGACCCGCACAAGCAGCGGAGCAUGUGGUUUAAUUCGAAGCAACGCGAAGAACCUUUACCAGGACUUGACAUCCCUCUGACAGUCCCUUAACCGGGAUUCUCCUUCGGGCAGAGGUGACAGGUGGUGCAUGGUUGUCGUCAGCUCGUGUCGUGAGAUGUUGGGUUAAGUCCCGCAACGAGCGCAACCCUUGUCUUUAGUUGCCAUCAUUUAGUUGGGCACUCUAGAGAGACUGCCGAGGAUAAACUCGGAGGAAGGUGGGGAUGACGUCAAAUCAUCAUGCCCCUUAUGUUCUGGGCUACACACGUGCUACAAUGGCUGGUACAAAGAGACGCAAGACGGUGACGUGGAGCAAAUCUCAAAAACCAGUCCCAGUUCGGAUUGUAGGCUGCAACUCGCCUACAUGAAGUUGGAGUUGCUAGUAAUCGCAGAUCAGAAUGCUGCGGUGAAUGCGUUCCCGGGUCUU